This is a long non-coding RNA of Canis lupus familiaris (dog), 995 nucleotides long. RefSeq lists it as uncharacterized. The record is from RefSeq and is a predicted model, not a curated record. NCBI's taxonomy places the organism in Eukaryota, Metazoa, Chordata, Mammalia, Carnivora, Canidae. The transcript has 3 exons.
CCUGGAUCCCGGCCAGGGCCUCGCGUGCGAGCAGAGCCGCCAACGCGCCCCACCCCCAGGCCUGUGGCAAGACAGAAAGAAACCAAGCAAAUGCAGGAGCCGGGGGCGGGGGCCAGCUUUCCCGGAAAUCCAUGUCCUGCAGUGGACAGACCCAGGUCCGAAGACCAGCUGAACGGAACAGGUGCCUAGUAAAGCCUGGCACUAUCUCAGCGUCAAGCGAAGGGCCCUGAGGCUUGGGCCUGUAUGCCAGCUCUCACACUCGGGGUUACACCACGAGGAAAAGGAAGCAUCCAUGCUGGAAGAAAGGAGUAUGCGGUGACUCUCAAGGGCCUCGGGCUAUUCUCAGAGGAAAAGUCCUGGCCCUCCGUUAGGUCCUAACAGGCAUCCUCUGCGCCCGGAUGCAGAGAACAAGUUCGUUCACUUCACUCCCUAAGAGGCUUGUGGUUUUGGGGACUGUGGUGCAGGUCAGCCUGGCUCCCGUGUGGGCAGUGGUAAGAGCAAAGUGGAAGGCCGCUCUGGGGCUCUCCGUGUGGGAGGCUGCUGACAAGCACAGCCUCAUCGAGACAUCAAAGGAGGUGAGGUCCUGAGAGACAGGUGGGGAGCACCCAGGUGGGCAGCUGGCUUGAGGCAGGAGGACAGACUGCAGAUGCGGGGUACAGGGUGGCUCUGGAAAGGCACUGGCAGCUGAGUACAGUAGGCUGUGUGCCAAGCAGGUGAGUCCAGCACAUGUGGGGAAGGGCCCCUGGACAGGGUGGGUGUCUGGGGAGAGGCCAGGACGACGUCGGGGGCUGGAAAAUCCCCAGCCAUCUCAGAAAACAGGCAGCACCAGGUAAGAGGGAGUAGAGUGCCAGUCAGGCUGGUCCUGUGGGUAGGAGUGGGGGUGGGCCCACCCCCCUUCAUGGGGCAUCCACGGAGGCCGAUCAGUCCUACACCCUCAGAGCGAGGGCAGGCUGGCCCCGUUUCCGGAGGGCAGGCCUCUUAGGCCUGAGAGGAGA